CCUACGGGUGGCAGCAGUGGGGAAUAUUGGGCAAUGGAGGAAACUCUGACCCAGCAAUGCCGCGUGAAUGAAGAAGGUCUUCGGAUUGUAAAGCUCUUUAGUCAGGGAAGAAAAAAAUGACGGUACCUGAAGAAUAAGCUCCGGCUAACUACGUGCCAGCAGCCGCGGUAAUACGUAGGGAGCAAGCGUUGUUCGGAAUGACUGGGGGUAAAGGGUGCGUAGGUGGUUAUUCAAGUUAGUAGUGAAAUUCCCAGGGCUUAACUCGGGUGCUGCAUCUAAAACUGGAAGACUUGAGUGCAGUAGAGGUUAGUGGAAUUCCUGGUGUAGCGGUGGAAUGCGUAGAUAUUAGGAAGAACACCAGAGGCGAAGGCAGCUAACUGGACUGCAACUGACACUGAGGCACGAAAGUGUGGGGAGCAAACAGGAUUAGAUACCCUAGUAGUC
RNAcentral lists this ribosomal RNA (444 nucleotides) under uncultured bacterium. Its description in RNAcentral is "partial 16S ribosomal RNA". It matches the Rfam family "Bacterial small subunit ribosomal RNA", at positions 338 to 795 of the family's 1533-position model. The record is from RNAcentral.